GCCAUGUCAUCAUCUUCUUCAAGGCUGGAGGCGAACGGACUAGUCGCACGACCUCUGCGUUUUUCAGUUUCUUUGCAAUUCCUCUCGACUUGAUUCCCGACGAUUUAAGACACCAUUUAACGAGCCGUUUGAUCCUACUUAAGCCCCACUCUCUCCUCCGUAAUAUCCCCCAAACAACACACACCGAGAGCCCCCAGGCUGCUCGAAUUCAAGCUCGAAAGUCCGCGGUACCGUCGCAGUUUAUCGUCGAAUUUGUUUGGUGCACUAGAGUGACGGCUUCAUCUUCGACUGUGGCACCGACCGCGGGAAGGAUUUUUCUUGGCCGAGCGAUUUCGGAAGAAGUACUGUACCUAGACGUCCGUUUCUCCUUCUACAACUCCAUCGACGCCGGAAGCCCGUCGUCAACGUCUUCGUCAACUCCUGUACUGCACCGACCCUUCCGACAUCGCCGUCGACCACCUGUGCCAUCAGCGAUUGUGGUUGCUCCGAUUGCAACGAGUGUUUUUGCGACGAGUGUACCAACUCAUCCCCGUGCUAAGGU
Lolium rigidum is the source of this 541-nucleotide long non-coding RNA. RefSeq lists it as uncharacterized. The transcript is spliced from 3 exons. The record is from RefSeq and is a predicted model, not a curated record. Lineage: Eukaryota; Viridiplantae; Streptophyta; Magnoliopsida; Poales; Poaceae.